GAUGAACGCUGGCGGCGUGCUUAACACAUGCAAGUCGAACGGAAAGGCUCCUGCUUGCAGGGGUACUCGAGUGGCGAACGGGUGAGUAACACGUGGGUGAUCUGCCCUGCACUUCGGGAUAAGCCUGGGAAACUGGGUCUAAUACCGGAUAGGACCACAUUUUGGAUGGUGUGGUGGAAAGUUUUUCGGUGUGGGAUGCGCUCGAGGCCUAUGAGCUUGUUGGUGGGGUAAUGGCCUACCAAGGCGUCGACGGGUAGCCGGCCUGAGAGGGUGUACGGCCACAUUGGGACUGAGAGACGGCGCAGACUCCUACGGGAGGCAGCAGUGGGGAAUAUUGCACAACGGGGGCAAGCCUGAUGCAGCGACGCCGCGUGGGUGAUGACGGCCUUCGGGGUGUAAACUCCUUUCGCUAGGGACGAAGCGCAAGUGACGGUACCUGGAGAAGAAGCAACGGCUAACUACGUG
Molecule: ribosomal RNA, 465 nt
Filed under: uncultured bacterium
Lineage: Bacteria
Description: partial 16S ribosomal RNA
Rfam family: Bacterial small subunit ribosomal RNA
Source: RNAcentral